RNAcentral lists this long non-coding RNA (1139 nucleotides) under Homo sapiens (human). Its description in RNAcentral is "long intergenic non-protein coding RNA 265". Lineage: Eukaryota; Metazoa; Chordata; Mammalia; Primates; Hominidae. The record is from RNAcentral.
GACAACGGCAAGCUGGCUGCAACGAAGCCGCCCACGUAGGCCUCCCCGGCCUGCUGGAGGAGAGGGGAUCCCCCGGGGCAGAGGCGGCUACACCCGGAGAACCCGGAAACCGGAAGCGCAGAUCCUGCCGGCUCUGGACUAGCCGCUCAGCACCAGGGCGGAAGGAAGACGAGGCGAGGCAAGCGCCAAGCUUCCAUCCGGACUUCAAGGCCAGUGGCUGGGUCUGGUUUUCUCAACACGGCCUCCUAGUCUCCUUCCCGCUUGGGCAUCUGUUUUUCUUAUAUAGACCCUGAAGCCGCCCGUGAUGUUCUGUAAGCAGGUUCCGCUUCAGAAUCAGAGGUACUUAAGAGGGAACCUGGAUGCUAGACCUGCCCUUGCUGCUGGCCUCAGUUUCUUUACCUGUAAAACAGGGAUUUUGGAACUGUUAAAUUAAAUCAAACUUAAAAGAAUUACAACUUAAAGCUGCUGGAACUUUACAUGAUCCCGAGCCUUGAGAGGAAUGUGGCUAUGCAGCCUGAGUCAUGUGGCAUGCAGAUGCAACCUCUGCCUUUUUCCGCUGUAAAUAAUUAAGAAGACCAAGUAGCAUCCAAGUCUCUUGUCCUUCUGCCUGCUGUUGUGGGAUGAUGUGUAGAGGAAGAUAGUCUUCCUCUACACAGCAAGAAGAUCCCUACCAGAUGCAGCCCUCUCAACCUUGGACUUCCUGACAUCCAGAACUAGUCACCUAAGCUGAAGAUUCCCUUGAGAACAAGUACUGUCCUGUGGUUUCAUGGCCUUUCUUCCAUUUGUGGUUCUUGCCAAGCGGAAUUUAAAUGACAUCUUAUCAAGAUGGAUAAACCCUAGUUUCCCAGUGCUGGAAUAUAGAAAAUGGAUGGACAAGUAAAUCCCACUCAGCACCCAUAGCCCAGGCAUGGGGACCUCAACACAUUUGAGCCGCAGAGAUCACCUUUCAUUGUGAAUAGCUCUGAGAUGAUACUUCUGGUUGAAUGUCUUUUUGUCACUUCCGGCUGGAUCUACCAUGAAAGAUUUCUGAAUCCAGGAAGAGAGAUUGACUGGGCAACAUGUUAUUCAGAGAUGGGGCCGCACUAUGUUGCCAUGGCUGACCUUGAACUCCUGCACUCAAGGGAUUUUCCUGCCUUGGC